AACGAACGCUGGCGGCAUGCCUAACACAUGCAAGUCGAACGAGACCCUCGGGUCUAGUGGCGCACGGGUGCGUAACGCGUGGGAACCUGCCCUUAGGUUCGGAAUAACUCCCCGAAAGGGGUGCUAAUACCGGAUAAUGUCUUCGGACCAAAGAUUUAUCGCCUUUGGAUGGGCCCGCGUUGGAUUAGCUAGUUGGUAGGGUAAAAGCCUACCAAGGCGACGAUCCAUAGCUGGUCUGAGAGGAUGAUCAGCCACACUGGGACUGAGACACGGCCCAGACUCCUACGGGAGGCAGCAGUGGGGAAUAUUGGACAGUGGGCGAAAGCCUGAUCCAGCAAUGCCGCGUGAGUGAUGAAGGCCUUAGGGUUGUAAAGCUCUUUUACCCGGGAUGAUAAUGACAGUACCGGGAGAAUAAGCUCCGGCUAACUCCGUG
RNAcentral lists this ribosomal RNA (433 nucleotides) under uncultured bacterium. RNAcentral describes it as "partial 16S ribosomal RNA". It matches the Rfam family "Bacterial small subunit ribosomal RNA", at positions 29 to 507 of the family's 1533-position model. The record is from RNAcentral.